AUCAACUUCAUUUUGUAGGUGCUAGAGUAUCUGGCUGUGGGCAAGAUACUGACAUUUGAACAUAUCAAUGGUGGUCUCCCAUGUCAUGGAAUGGAGAGGUGGGUAAAUUUCAAUUUUUUUUAUCUCCACUGGAAUAGUUGUUAGAAAUUUCUAGUAGUCAUGUCUAGUUGUUGCCUCUUUUGUUUUGGUUCUUAUGGUUAACACAAGCUUAAAAAGAUGUUAUUCUGGUAUUAUAAAACCAUGAAAUAUGCUACACCAUAUGUGUGUGUCUGUGUGAAAUGUUGAAUAUCUAUACUACUAAUAAUGGGUAUUGGUCCCUUUGGUUAUAAUUCCUACUACUGUAGUUUUUUUUAAUCAUAUCUUG
Molecule: non-coding RNA, 364 nt
Organism: Arachis ipaensis
Lineage: Eukaryota; Viridiplantae; Streptophyta; Magnoliopsida; Fabales; Fabaceae
Source: RefSeq, a predicted model, not a curated record